CACACCGCCCGUCACGCCAUGGAAGUUGGGGUCGCUUGAAAAGGCUGAGCUAACUGCAAGGAGGCAAGUCUUAAUGGUGAAACCGAUGACUGGGGUG
This 97-nucleotide ribosomal RNA is filed under the name uncultured bacterium. RNAcentral describes it as "partial 16S ribosomal RNA". It matches the Rfam family "Bacterial small subunit ribosomal RNA", at positions 1386 to 1482 of the family's 1533-position model. The record is from RNAcentral.